GACGAACGCUGGCGGCGUGCUUAACACAUGCAAGUCGAACGGAAAGGCCCUGCUUUUGUGGGGUGCUCGAGUGGCGAACGGGUGAGUAACACGUGAGUAACCUGCCCUUGACUUUGGGAUAACUUCAGGAAACUGGGGCUAAUACCGGAUAGGAGCUCCUGCUGCAUGGUGGGGGUUGGAAAGUUUCGGCGGUUGGGGAUGGACUCGCGGCUUAUCAGCUUGUUGGUGGGGUAGUGGCUUACCAAGGCUUUGACGGGUAGCCGGCCUGAGAGGGUGACCGGCCACAUUGGGACUGAGAUACGGCCCAGACUCCUACGGGAGGCAGCAGUGGGGAAUAUUGCACAAUGGGCGGAAGCCUGAUGCAGCAACGCCGCGUGCGGGAUGACGGCCUUCGGGUUGUAAACCGCUUUCGCCUGUGACGAAGCGUGAGUGACGGUAAUGGGUAAAGAAGCACCGGCUAACUACGUGCCAGCAGCCGCGGUGAUACGUAGGGUGCGAGCGUUGUCCGGAUUUAUUGGGCGUAAAGGGCUCGUAGGUGGUUGAUCGCGUCGGAAGUGUAAUCUUGGGGCUUAACCCUGAGCGUGCUUUCGAUACGGGUUGACUUGAGGAAGGUAGGGGAGAAUGGAAUUCCUGGUGGAGCGGUGGAAUGCGCAGAUAUCAGGAGGAACACCAGUGGCGAAGGCGGUUCUCUGGGCCUUUCCUGACGCUGAGGAGCGAAAGCGUGGGGAGCGAACAGGCUUAGAUACCCUGGUAGUCCACGCUGUAAACGGUGGGUACUAGGUGUGGGGUCCAUUCCACGGGUUCCGUGCCGUAGCUAACGCUUUAAGUACCCCGCCUGGGGAGUACGGCCGCAAGGCUAAAACUCAAAGGAAUUGACGGGGCCCCGCACAAGCGGCGGAGCAUGCGGAUUAAUUCGAUGCAACGCGUAGAACCUUACCUGGGUUUGACAUGGAUCGGGAGCGCUCAGAGAUGGGUGUGCCUCUUUUGGGGUCGGUUCACAGGUGGUGCAUGGCUGCCGUCAGCUCGUGUCGUGAGAUGUUGGGUUAAGUCCCGCAACGAGCGCAACCCUUGUUCACUGUUGCCAGCACGUUAUGGUGGGGACUCAGUGGAGACCGCCGGGGUCAACUCGGAGGAAGGUGGGGAUGACGUCAAGUCAUCAUGCCCCUUAUGUCCAGGGCUUCACGCAUGCUACAAUGGCUGGUACAGAGAGUGGCGAGCCUGUGAGGGUGAGCGAAUCUCGGAAAGCCGGUCUCAGUUCGGAUUGGGGUCUGCAACUCGACCUCAUGAAGUCGGAGUCACUAGUAAUCGCAGAUCAGCAACGCUGCGGUGAAUACGUUCCCGGGGCU
RNAcentral lists this ribosomal RNA (1346 nucleotides) under uncultured bacterium. Its description in RNAcentral is "bacterial SSU rRNA". It matches the Rfam family "Bacterial small subunit ribosomal RNA", at positions 28 to 1381 of the family's 1533-position model. The record is from RNAcentral.